GAUGAACGCUGGCGGCGUGCCUAAUACAUGCAAGUCGAGCGAACAGACGAGGAGCUUGCUCCUCUGACGUUAGCGGCGGACGGGUGAGUAACACGUGGAUAACCUACCUAUAAGACUGGGAUAACUUCGGGAAACCGGAGCUAAUACCGGAUAAUAUAUUGAACCGCAUGGUUCAAUAGUGAAAGACGGUUUUGCUGUCACUUAUAGAUGGAUCCGCGCCGCAUUAGCUAGUUGGUAAGGUAACGGCUUACCAAGGCGACGAUGCGUAGCCGACCUGAGAGGGUGAUCGGCCACACUGGAACUGAGACACGGUCCAGACUCCGACGGGAGGCAGCAGUAGGGAAUCUUCCGCAAUGGGCGAAAGCCUGACGGAGCAACGCCGCGUGAGUGAUGAAGGUCUUCGGAUCGUAAAACGCUGUUAUUAGGGAAGAACAAAUGUGUAAGUAACUAUGCACGUCUUGACGGUACCUAAUCAGAAAGCCACGGCGAACUACGU
Molecule: ribosomal RNA, 496 nt
Filed under: uncultured bacterium
Lineage: Bacteria
Description: partial 16S ribosomal RNA
Rfam family: Bacterial small subunit ribosomal RNA
Source: RNAcentral